UGAUCGGUCCUCUACUUCGUGUGGAUAUCCGUAGAGGCCGGACGUUUGAACGGCUUCAAGCGAACCCUCUUCCAAAACCACGAAUUCAGAUUUGCGGUGAUCAUCUACCCGCACAAGGUGAAGAUUUGAUCUUCCUAAUAGUUUUAAAAGUUUUAAUUCUUACCUAAUUAAGAAAGGUCUCGAAACAACGUUCAUGCGAUGAACGUCGAACCCGUGCAUGCCGAUUCCGCUGCCAUCUGA
RNAcentral lists this long non-coding RNA (240 nucleotides) under Phoenix dactylifera (date palm). RNAcentral describes it as "long non-coding RNA (PDAC_LNC019007)". Lineage: Eukaryota; Viridiplantae; Streptophyta; Magnoliopsida; Arecales; Arecaceae. The record is from RNAcentral.